GGAGGAGGGAGGGAAAAGCAGCGGGGAGGCUCCUCAGUAGCGGGCCUGAGGGGGUGUUUUCAUUCCGUUCAUGGAAUCCAAAAUGAUUCGGUUGGGAAGGGACCCCAAAACUCUCCAUUCCCACCCCUUGCCAUGGUCAGGGACACCUCCCACUAUCCCAGGUUGCUCCAGACCCGGUCCUUGGCCACUUCCAGGGAAUUAAGACAAGAUCUGAGCUUGUUUCAAACGAGGUUGGCUGCAGCAAUCCCAAAGAAACGCCUGGAAAUGAUGAAGAAAAACUCGAGAGGCAGCCACAGAGUUUGUGAGGAGAGCAGAGGGCAGCGUGGCAAAGGCUUGGCUAAAGAUCACCAAGUGAUUCCCAAAAGCUCAGAGGGGGAUUGGAUUCCUUCCCUCAACACCCACCUCAAGAAGGCACCUGCCACGGGCUGGACGUGGAGAAACGGGAUAAACGAUGGAAACCAGGGGAAAUUCUGGGAGAUCUGGUGCCUGCAGGGAGUUGGAAACGAGAGAAAAGCACCCAGAGGCAGUGAGGGGCUCUCACACAGAGCACAACCCCUGCACUUCCCAACAAUCCGGGAUUCCUUGGAUGCUGCAGCUCAGAACCUGCACGGAACGUACAGAACCGGGUCAAGAGCUCUCCACGGGGUUUUGUUCUGUGGAAGAUUUGGGCAAAAAGAAGGUGGAAAAAGGGGGAAAAAAGGAAAGGGGGCACCUGGAGUUGAACCAGGGACCUCUUGAUCUGCAGUCAAAUGCUCUCCCACUGAGCUAUACCCCCAUGGGGCACAAAAGGACAAUUAAAAACAUUUCCUGGGCAAGUCAGGAGCCUUUCUGUCCUGGAUUCCAUUCAGCCACACCUCCCUCUGCCCCUCCUGUGCCUGGGAAAAGGUGGGAAACUCCAGCAGUUCAGUGUGAAA
Molecule: long non-coding RNA, 914 nt
Organism: Poecile atricapillus (Black-capped chickadee)
Lineage: Eukaryota; Metazoa; Chordata; Aves; Passeriformes; Paridae
Exons: 3
Source: RefSeq, a predicted model, not a curated record